GAUAACAGGUUGAUUUUACCCAAGAGCUCACCAUCAACGGGAAGGUUUUGCACCUUGAUGUUGGCUCUUCGCCACCUGGGGCUGUAGUAUGUUCCAAGGGUUAGGUUGUUUGCCCAUUAAAGCGGCACGUGACCUAGGCAUAGAACGUCAUGAGACAGUUC
Molecule: non-coding RNA, 161 nt
Organism: Gossypium raimondii (Peruvian cotton)
Lineage: Eukaryota; Viridiplantae; Streptophyta; Magnoliopsida; Malvales; Malvaceae
Source: Rfam